ACAAUAGGUUCAGUAACGUUUGGCCUCACUUUUGUCUCUGCAGGGAGAGUUCGGAGUCUACCUUGUAUCAGAUGGGACAAGCCGACCAUACCGCUGUAAAAUUAAAGCCCCGGGAUUUGCUCAUUUGGCUGGUUUAGAUAAGAUGGCUCGAGGUCAUAUGCUUGCAGAUGUUGUUGCUAUCAUUGGAACACAGGACAUUGUUUUCGGGGAAGUGGAUCGAUAAUGUUUCUUCCAUGCCAAAGUAAGCUGGAGGGAGUACAUAGAAGCUCAGCCUGAUGCCCAGCUACCCGAUAGUUUUGUUGUGGACUCUUUGUCGAGAACAGAAGCAAAUGUCUGAUUAUUUAAGAUUGUGCUUUCGUACCUCAUGCUGAAAAUAAAUGCUCUGUUUUCUCUA
Molecule: long non-coding RNA, 394 nt
Organism: Bombina bombina (fire-bellied toad)
Lineage: Eukaryota; Metazoa; Chordata; Amphibia; Anura; Bombinatoridae
Exons: 3
Source: RefSeq, a predicted model, not a curated record